This 383-nucleotide long non-coding RNA is filed under the name Elaeis guineensis (African oil palm). RNAcentral describes it as "long non-coding RNA (EGUI_LNC058138)". The record is from RNAcentral. Lineage: Eukaryota; Viridiplantae; Streptophyta; Magnoliopsida; Arecales; Arecaceae.
UAGAUUCUUGGACUUAGCCUUUCAAAUUCUAUAGGACUACUCUCUAUCAAAGUCGAUAGAUCCUGUUUUGAUGUGCACUCCACUCCUACAGUGAACCAACUGUCGCCAACAUCUACUACAAGGGCUCAUUGAGACCCAUGUUUAUGUGUCAGUCAAAUUUCAGUAGUCUCACUGCGAGUAGCAGUACCAUCUCAAAUCAAAGGACCAGUCAUACAAUUACAGCAUCGAGACAAUCACUGACGAUUGAAUAGAAAUCCAAAUGAUCUCUCGUAUGGUCACGUUCAGUACUAGUUGUUCUCUAACAACCAUCUGCACUCGUCAUCCUGUAUCUCUACACAGUCGACUAGAGACUCAUCUAUCCCGAAAGAAGUGAUUUGUGCGCC